Schizosaccharomyces pombe (fission yeast) is the source of this 366-nucleotide non-coding RNA. The record is from the annotation of a GenBank genome assembly. Lineage: Eukaryota; Fungi; Ascomycota; Schizosaccharomycetes; Schizosaccharomycetales; Schizosaccharomycetaceae.
UAGUUUUAUCGAAGGAAGCAAAGCAAGAGAACCGUGAGUAGGAAAUAGAAAGUGAACAGUAAUAAAAAAAAGUAAAACAGUAGGGAACGUUUUCUUAGAGCUUAUUACAAUUACGAAAAAUAAAGCUUAUCCCAAUUGAGAUAGUUAAAAAAAAAGGAACGAAAUAAAACGAUAUGAAAGACAACAAAGGAUGGAAAAACAAAAACAAACCGCUGAAUGAAUUAAUCAAAAGAAAGCGGAAAAAUUAAUAAAUACUCAUCAAUAGAGUAGCACAAGAUGAAGCGAAGGGAGUAGGACAAGGCGUUAAGCCUGCGUUUAGUCUGAACAAUAGAUAUAGACUAAAAAGUGAAAGACGGAAUUUCAAAG